UACACGCUGCAUCUCAGCCAUGCCGCGUGAGUGAUGAAGGCCUUAGGGUCGUAAAGCUCUUUCGCCUGUGAUGAUAAUGACAGUAGCAGGUAAAGAAACCCCGGCUAACUCCGUGCCAGCAGCCGCGGUAAUACGGAGGGGGUUAGCGUUGUUCGGAAUUACUGGGCGUAAAGCGCGCGUAGGCGGAUUAGAAAGUUGGGGGUGAAAUCCCGGGGCUCAACCUCGGAACUGCCUCCAAAACUGCUAGUCUAGAGUUCGAGAGAGGUGAGUGGAAUUCCGAGUGUAGAGGUGAAAUUCGUAGAUAUUCGGAGGAACACCAGUGGCGAAGGCGGCUCACUGGCUCGAUACUGACGCUGAGGUGCGAAAGUGUGGGGAGCAAACAGGAUUAGAUACCCUGGUAGUCCACACCGUAAACGAUGAAUGCCAGUCGUCGGAUAGUAUACUAUUCGGUGACACACCUAACGGAUUAAGCAUUCCGCCUGGGGAGUACGGUCGCAAGAUUAAAACUCAAAGGAAUUGACGGAUCCU
RNAcentral lists this ribosomal RNA (528 nucleotides) under uncultured marine bacterium. RNAcentral's name for it is "bacterial SSU rRNA". It matches the Rfam family "Bacterial small subunit ribosomal RNA", at positions 377 to 921 of the family's 1533-position model. The record is from RNAcentral.